Molecule: small nucleolar RNA, 99 nt
Filed under: Gossypium hirsutum (cotton)
Lineage: Eukaryota; Viridiplantae; Streptophyta; Magnoliopsida; Malvales; Malvaceae
Description: Plant small nucleolar RNA R71
Rfam family: Plant small nucleolar RNA R71
About the family: R71 is a member of the C/D box family of snoRNAs containing the C (UGAUGA) and D (CUGA) box motifs. Multiple nearly identical copies of this snoRNA have been identified in Arabidopsis, and it is thought to function as a 2'-O-ribose methylation guide for 18S ribosomal RNA.
Source: Rfam by way of RNAcentral
AUCCCAUGGUGAGGGCAUUUUCAUAGUAGCUCUUUAAAUCUUUCCUAUGCCUCGUAUAAGGAUUCAUCAUCCUUAACCAAAAAGCAAUCUGCUAAUUCU